Molecule: unclassified non-coding RNA, 226 nt
Filed under: uncultured fungus
Lineage: Eukaryota; Fungi
Description: sequence contains ITS1, 5.8S rRNA gene
Rfam family: 5.8S ribosomal RNA (bases 178-226)
Source: RNAcentral
UCUCCGUAGGUGAACCUGCGGAGGGAUCAUUACCGAGUGAGGGUUCCGGCCCGACCUCCAACCCUUUGUGAAUUCGACCCAGUUGCCUCGGGGGCGACCCUGCCGUUUCGACGGCGAGCGCCCCCGGAGGCCUUCAAACACUGCAUCUUUGCGUCGGAGUUUAAGUAAAUUAAACAAAACUUUCAACAACGGAUCUCUUGGUUCUGGCAUCGAUGAAGAACGCAGC